GGCUCCCUUCCACAGCUCCUGCUCUCUGCCAGAUGUGUUGGUCUUCAUUAUCGCUGUGACUCCCUCUAGGUGGAGAUUGCUGGGUGAGCAGCAGCUGAGAAGUCUGACAGGACAGGAAACUGGUUCUGUUUUCUGCUUGGAGAGAAACCUUUGCUGUGUGGAGAUGGACCAGAGCUGAGAGUUUCUGCCGCUUUUGUGCCAGCGGAAGCCAAAAGGGAAAAGGCUGCUCUUGAGAACAACUUGAAACCAUUCUUCUUGUGCCUUGGAAUCAGCACUUGUACUGAAUUGCCCCAUUUCGUCUAAGCUAUUUUUUAAGCUCCUUUGAAUAUAUUUUCUCCAUCACAGUUAGCGGAAAAGUUGCUCUGCUUUUCUUAAGGGGUAACCAAGUGCUUAAGUGCUUUGCUGGAUCCUGGCCAGAGCCAGCAUCUUGCAGAAUGGAGCCCAUGACAACUCAUUUCAUCCCCCAAAAUCUCAGUUUUCUUCACAAACU
RNAcentral lists this long non-coding RNA (490 nucleotides) under Calidris pugnax (ruff). Its description in RNAcentral is "lncRNA (ENSCPUG00000006824.1)". The record is from RNAcentral. Lineage: Eukaryota; Metazoa; Chordata; Aves; Charadriiformes; Scolopacidae.